RNAcentral lists this ribosomal RNA (254 nucleotides) under uncultured bacterium. RNAcentral describes it as "partial 16S ribosomal RNA". It matches the Rfam family "Bacterial small subunit ribosomal RNA", at positions 524 to 777 of the family's 1533-position model. The record is from RNAcentral.
UACGGAGGGUGCAAGCGUUAAUCGGAAUUACUGGGCGUAAAGGGUGCGUAGGCGGUUGUUUAAGUCUGUUGUGAAAUCCCCGGGCUCAACCUGGGAAUGGCAAUGGAUACUGGACAGCUAGAGUGUGUCAGAGGAUGGUGGAAUUCCCGGUGUAGCGGUGAAAUGCGUAGAGAUCGGGAGGAACAUCAGUGGCGAAGGCGGCCAUCUGGGACAACACUGACGCUGAAGCACGAAAGCGUGGGGAGCAAACAGGG